RNAcentral lists this long non-coding RNA (252 nucleotides) under Vitis vinifera (wine grape). Its description in RNAcentral is "long non-coding RNA (VVIN_LNC007550)". The record is from RNAcentral. Lineage: Eukaryota; Viridiplantae; Streptophyta; Magnoliopsida; Vitales; Vitaceae.
GCUUAGGAUGGUCAUAAACUUUCCUACUGAGUUGUGAACUCACCCUAUCCCUUCCACCUUUAGAUACAAGUCAGAAGACCUAUACAGGAAAUAAUGCUUAAGCAUUGCUUUACUGUGAUUGGAUGUUGUUUGCUCACAUUGAUAGUGUUUUGAGGCUUUGCCUUUGUAUUAAAGACUGAAUCUUUUUUGUAGGAAUGAUGUAAUAUAUAUAUUUGUUAAGUACACUUGUAGUAUGGGCUACCCGUAGUGAAC